UACGGGGGGUGCAAGCGUUAUUCGGAAUCAUUGGGCGUAAAGGGCGCGUAGGCGGUUUGUUAAGUCAGAUGUGAAAGCCCGGGGCUCAACCCCGGAAGUGCAUUUGAUACUGGCGAACUUGAGUAUGGGAGAGGGAAGUGGAAUUCCUGGUGUAGAGGUGAAAUUCGUAGAUAUCAGGAGGAACACCGGUGGCGAAGGCGACUUCCUGGACCAAUACUGACGCUGAGGCGCGAAGGCGUGGGUAGCAAACAGG
RNAcentral lists this ribosomal RNA (253 nucleotides) under uncultured bacterium. RNAcentral describes it as "partial 16S ribosomal RNA". It matches the Rfam family "Bacterial small subunit ribosomal RNA", at positions 524 to 776 of the family's 1533-position model. The record is from RNAcentral.